Molecule: RNA transcript, 1849 nt
Organism: Solanum verrucosum
Lineage: Eukaryota; Viridiplantae; Streptophyta; Magnoliopsida; Solanales; Solanaceae
Exons: 16
Source: RefSeq, a predicted model, not a curated record
CCAUUUUUGUCAUUUUCUCCUCUUUUGGCACAAUUAGUUCACCGUCUCCGGCAGAGUCCACAUUGAGAGAGUUCACCGUCUCCGGCAAUGUCGGAAAUCGAAUCGGCCGACGAACUUCAGCGCAGGGAGUUUGAAGAAGCUCUAGAAGUCAAAUCCCUCCGUCGUAUCAUCAGCGCCUACCUCAAUUAUCCUGAAGCUGCAGAAGAGGAUGUGAAAAGAUGGGAAAGGUCUCUUACAAAACUACCGCCGCAUCAUAAGGCCCUAUUGUCUCACCUUCCGUCGAAGUUUCAGAAACUGAGAUGGUGCAUCACUGAAAAUUCAUAUUUCAUAUUUGAGAUGCUAAAGAUGUUUGAGCCCCCUCUUGAUAUGAGUCAGGAUGUUGAUAUUCGUGAAAACCAACAUCUAGAUGAUGUGUCAGGUAGUCAUCACUUUUCUAGAUCAAGGAACCUUUGCUUAUGUGAGUCAACGUCAACUAGUGGUGGAGUAGAUUGCCACUGCUUGGCUGAACCGAGCUCUAAAGAGACCUGCAAUGGGAAGUACCCGGCACCAUUUAAUAAGGAGCAAGAGGUUGAUGAUUGUAAGAGCCUUCCAAACCAGGACACGUUAUAUGCUUCUGCUUGUUGCAAUGGAAAGGUAUCCUCAUCACCUCCGGAAUGGUUGGACCCAUCUUUGCAGCUGCAUGUUCCACUGGUUGAUGUGGAUAAGGUUCGUUGUAUCAUCAGAAACAUUGUAAGAGAUUGGGCCAACGAGGGUCAAAAAGAACGUGAUCAGUGUUAUAGGCCCAUUCUGGAAGAGCUUGAACGCCUAUUUCCUAAUCGAUCUAAUGAAAAUCCUCCAGCCUGUUUGGUUCCUGGCGCUGGACUUGGAAGACUUGCACUAGAAAUUUCAUGUCUUGGUUUUGCUAGCCAAGGAAACGAAUUCUCAUACUACAUGAUGAUCUGCUCCAGUUUUAUUCUUAAUCAUACUCAAGCUGCUGGUGAAUGGACAAUCUUUCCAUGGAUACACAGCAAUUGCAAUUCGGUGUCAGACAAUGAUCAGCUUCGUCCCGUCUCUGUUCCAGAUAUUCAUCCGGCUAGUGCAGGUAUUACUGAAGGCUUUUCCAUGUGUGGUGGUGAUUUUGUUGAGGUUUAUAGUGAUCCAAGCCAAGCAGGUUAUAUUUUAGCUCGUACAAGGAUAAUGUAUUUUGAUAUUUCAUCUAUACCUUGUGGAAAUAAGAGCUGCAAUUGGGGUAUAUGUGUACCUGCAUCUUAAUGGGCCCUAAAGUUAAGUUUUGUCCUCAUCUUUCAGCUCAUUAAAACCGCUCAUGUUCACUGUUCAUGACCUUUUGUCUUAUGCUAAAUAUAAUUAGUUGCGAAAAUAAUAUGCUUUUUGCUUUCUUUUGUAGGCAUGCAUUUCUUAAGAUUGAUCACCAUAACCAGCUAUCUAGUAAAAUUAUCCUGCAUCUAUUUGGUUUUUUUCUUGGUUGUGUGUGUGUGAAGGGGGGGAGGCUGCAUGACUGGUUCAAAUGCAAUUUGCUAAGUUCUCAUCAUGUGUCGUCUGCAGAUAUUCUAGUCAUUGUUAUUCAUUAAAUCGUAACAUUUUUUUUAUGAUAGAAGCUAUCCUCAUCAGAUAUUAAUGUGCAGGAGUUUGGGAUGCAGUUGUCACUUGUUUCUUCCUAGACACUGCCCAUAACAUUGUGGAGUAUAUUGAGAUUAUCUCAAAAGUCCUCAAAGAUGGUGGAGUCUGGAUAAACCUGGGGCCCUUGCUUUAUCAUUUUGCAGAUAUGUAUAGUCCAGAAGAUGAAAUGUCUAUUGAUCUGAGCUUGGAGGAUGUGAAAAGGGUCGCUCUUCAUUAUGGAUUUAUAUUCGAG